AAGAAGCAUCAAUGACAGUUUUGACCCGUGACUCUUCUUGACAUUUCAUUGCAUAGUCCAAAAAUAUUAAAUUUUAAUUAUUAAGUGUAUUUAUUAUCUAUGAUAUUAAACUUGUUAUUUGUCCUGGGCGAUACAUUUGCAGGGGUUCGGAGUGGCUUGAAUUAGCCGCUUCCACGUUCAAGUUUUGGACCGCGACGUAGGGCAGGAUAAAAGUUCGUUACCUAAAAUGAAUUUGAUUUCACAGGCAAUAGUACAAUUGGAGGAGAAUUAUCGAUUUGUAUUCACAUUAAUUGUUAUAGCAUUUACGAUUUUCUUCGUUUAUGAUAAAGUUAAUAGAGAUUCUGAAUGCGAAGAAAAUAUGUCAAGGCUUGAGAGAAAUUGCUAGUCUUAUUUUGCAAAUAGAGUUUAAAAUAUUUAUGGGACGUUCAAUAAUAUAAAUGAAAUUGAUGAAAAGGUAGUUACGAAAUUUUGGAGAUCAACAAUCUUAGGAGCAGAAAGGUCAUUAAUUUUAUGUAAGAAUAUCUUUAGAAAAUUCCUUUGAAAAAAUAAUAAUAUGUAAAAUAAAAGUAACGAAUAUUUUU
This is a long non-coding RNA of Bombyx mori (domestic silkworm), 581 nucleotides long. RefSeq lists it as uncharacterized. The transcript has 2 exons. The record is from RefSeq and is a predicted model, not a curated record. NCBI's taxonomy places the organism in Eukaryota, Metazoa, Arthropoda, Insecta, Lepidoptera, Bombycidae.